Molecule: ribosomal RNA, 223 nt
Filed under: uncultured bacterium
Lineage: Bacteria
Description: partial 16S ribosomal RNA
Rfam family: Bacterial small subunit ribosomal RNA
Source: RNAcentral
AAUCAACGCUGGCGGCGUGCCUCAGACAUGCAAGUCGAACGCGAAAGUCUCCUUCGGGGGACAAGUAGAGUGGCGCACGGGUGAGUAACACGUAGGUAAUCUACCUUCGGAUGGGGAAGUAACAACCGGAAACGGUUGCUAAUACCGCAUAAUGCAGCGGCACCUAAUGGUGACAGUUGUUAAAGCGGGGGAGUCGUAAGACCUCGCGUCUGAAGAGGAGCCU